CAUCAACUUUGAUUGGGUUGCUGAAACAAUAAUUAAGCCUUUGUUAACUGAUUAUCAUCAAGUCGCUAUUUGAUAGCGCGCACCAACCGGCAACGCAGCAUAAAAUGGCAUUUGCGUGAUAUUUUGAGGUUAUGUUAAAAAUUUACGUUUUGAUUCGUUGUUUUGUGGUGAAUUGGUGCGGCCUUCGUCGGUGUUUUUGAGGUGUGUUAUCUCUUAAAAACAUUCAAGAUGAGCAGCUCCAGUUCAAAAGCACCUAAGAGAUCGAAAAAUUUCACCGGGCACGAGAAAAGCGAAUUAACCCAAAUAAUUCAAAGGUCGCCAUGAUAUUUUCAUCAUCAUCCAGGCGCUCGACCCAGUGCUGCCGCGUCGACAAAUAUAUUUUCCUUUUGGACUAUAUCAACAUAAUAUAACAUUUCAAGAUAACUGUGGUUGAAAAAUUAAAAAGGACACCGAGUAUUAUUAUUUGAAGUAAUAUAGUACUGCAAAAGUAGUAUUAUUAUCAGCUGUGAAUACUCCUUACGCGACGCACUGGUGAUGGACUACAUCAAAGAGUCCCCACUGCUCGCCGUAAAACACACCUUACUUCAACUGGGGGACUGCAGCAGUAAGAUAUAAUUCCGCGUACUCACCAUCAUCAAAUGCAGAUCAUCAUAUUGGUUACUAUCGACAAUGUUGGAAAUCGCCAGUUUAAAACUCAAUAGCACCUUUCAAUUGUGUUUCUGAUAACUUUGUGAUGUUUCCUCAGCUCGAUUUCUAGAGUUAACGAAAGAUGUGAGAAGGUAUCUCUUGCAGGUGUAACCACUAUCUCCAAGAAGAUAUCCUGUUUUAAUUCAUCAUGGACAGAUCCUGGCCAACGGACUAGUAUGUGGCGAAAUAUUUGCGUCACAUCUUGAGAUUAUGUUAAAUAUUUGUGAUCGUUAAUGGUGGAAGUUAAAGUUUGUUGUUGUUCUUGGGCUACUGUUCCUCUGAAAAUUGUUCACGAUGGAUAGUACCAAAGUUAUGGAAAGGUCGAAAAAUUUCACAGCCCAUCAAAAAACUCAGUACAAAUAAUUCUGAGAUAUGCCCAUAUAUUAGAAAACAGAUGCAGUUUCUGUACAAGAAGAGAAUGUUGCUGAGAGAUCAUGUAAGACGAAUUCAAUGUUACCAUCAUUGAGGGGCCUAGGGAUGUUCAGACUAUCAAAAUUCGACACAAAACUUAAAAAAGGAAAGGGCUGAAAAAAUUAAGUUACAAGCUGGAUCUACAAUAUUUUUAUACAAUGUGGUUAUUAAUUUUUAGAAGGAAGCGUUUAUUUCUAUUAAAACAGACAACAGGGAUGAAGGUAUGAGUGCAGACGUGGGUGAUGGUGAGCUGGAAAUGACAAAUAAAUAUAAUAGAUGAAGAUUUGAUUUUUUACAAAAAAAAGGUGAAAAAAAACAGAUACAGCACAAUACUUCGGAAAUCCUGAACCUCAUAGCCCUGCCUCCUCCAUUCCGAACGAGAAAAAUAAAAUCCCCCUUUCCAAGAAAAACAGUGUAAUAAAAAAUAAAAAAUAUACAAAUGAAAAUAAUUUUUAGUGAAUUUGCAAAAUAAACACAAACAAAAACUUUCAAAAAGGCUUACAAUUAAAAUAUUUGCAGAUUAAAAAAGUAGAAAUCGAAUUGGAAAAUUCAAAUUCAAUAAUUGGAAAUCGAAGAGUUUUUUUUUAGUUUUAUAAUAAUCAUUAUUAAACAUUUUUGUUAAACUCUUUCUGCAAAUAUAGUAUUUACAAGGUGAGUUCUCAUAGCAAAAUUUCCUUCCAUGGGGUCACCACCUAUGACUUCAUCGUCUUCCUCAAUUUCAAGGUGAUCUUCUGGCCAGUCAUCUUUAAAAAUAAUUGCCAGGUUAUGCAAAAUUGCACAGGCGACGAUUGCCAUCAUAUUAGUUUUCAUUUUUAGUCGCAAUCCCAUAGACAAAGCUGGAAAGCGACGUUUCAAAACUCCAAAACACCUUUCAACUGUGUUUCUGGUCGCUUUGUGGGAAGCAUUAUAUGCUUCCUCAGCCCUGUUUCUUGGAUUAAUGAAGGGCGUCAAAAGAUAUCUUUUGCAUGCGUAGCCACUGUCUCCAAGAAGAUAUCCAGCGCCAUACAUGCCUCGUUCUAAUUCAGGAGGUAACGGACAGUCAUUAAAAAUGGUGGAAUCGUGGACAGAUCCUGGCCAGCGAGCUAUGAUAUGUCGUAUUUGAAGCUCCGCGUCACAAACUACUUGGACAUUGAGCGAAAAAAAACCUUUUCGGCAUCUAUAAGUUUCAGCCAAGUGUCCACCUGGCGAUUGGAUUGGUAUAUGCGUACCGUCUAUUGCCCCUAUGACACACGGAAAACCCCGGAUUUCGAAGAAUUUUCUAUGUAUUGUUGGUAUUUCUUGCAAGUCGAUAUCGUCGUACCUAUCGAAAGGAUCGGACCUGUCUCGAAAAAUUCGAGGUCUUCUAGGAACAGGAACAUCGGAAUCGUCAGAGGAACUGGAGGACGUUAACGUUAAGGACACGGACAUUUUGAGGUAAACUACAAUUUACAGCUGUUACAACAAAAAGUAUAUUUCACAUGUAUUUAAAAUUACCUGAAUAAAAUUUAAUUGAA
Zophobas morio is the source of this 2591-nucleotide long non-coding RNA. RefSeq lists it as uncharacterized. Lineage: Eukaryota; Metazoa; Arthropoda; Insecta; Coleoptera; Tenebrionidae. The transcript is spliced from 5 exons. The record is from RefSeq and is a predicted model, not a curated record.